CAGCCGGUGGCGUAGUGGUCUAACGCAUCUCCGUAUCAAGAAGACAGUCGCGGAUUCGAAUCCCGUCUGGUUGG
Operophtera brumata (winter moth) is the source of this 74-nucleotide transfer RNA. It matches the Rfam family "tRNA". From Rfam's summary of the family: Transfer RNA (tRNA) molecules are approximately 80 nucleotides in length. Their secondary structure includes four short double-helical elements and three loops (D, anti-codon, and T loops). The record is from Rfam. Lineage: Eukaryota; Metazoa; Arthropoda; Insecta; Lepidoptera; Geometridae.